CAUCAACGCCUUCAUGGCCAGCAGACCGAGAGCGCCGAAUCCUAGCGCGGCCAUCAUCUUGCCUGAAAAUCGCAGAAAUAAACCAGGUUAGCUUGGAGUUUGGGAGUCUUUUAGGAAGAGAAAGAGGGGUUGUCGAUUGGGACAAUUCGUAAGAGGAUUUUGAUUUAAGAUGGAAAGAUAAUGAAUUUUCUUUUUCCAGAUUCGUUUGGAGGGAAGGAAGAUCGGGACGAUCUCGUGACUCGUGGGCCGGCGCAGGAUAUAUCGGAAUCGAGGUGAAAAAUAUUCUAGAAAGCAACUAACUACUAGGGGCCCUCGUUAUAUUACGCUCGUAAAGAAAGUAAAUAUCGCGUGCCGUAACAAGAAACAAUUAUGGGAGGAGGAGCAGGAGGAGGAGGAGGAGGGUUUGCGUGGCAGACGAAGUGUGCCAAGUUCGGAGCCUCCUUCCUUCCGCAGGAUUGCUGCGCAACUUCGCGCGGCCCAAGAUUUCUUUUGCCUGGUUUCGAGCGUUUAAAUCGUAAGAAAAAGAAGAAGAAGAAGAAGAAGAAGAAGAAAGAAAUAACACGCGCGAUCUCUUUUCCCUAAUCGUUGGGAAAACUCGGUGUCUUAACCCGGAUAAAAAUAAAAGAAUUAUCCCUCCAACUCGUUCCACCCAUAGAUGGAAAUAGGAAGUACAUUGAGAGACAGACGAGAGGAUUCGAGCACGGGAAACGAUCGAUCAACUGGAGGUGGUGGUGGGAUAAAGAAAAUCAAAUAUUUGAGCAGCGCGGUGAAAAAGAGUUGAUGAUGAGCGUGGUAAAUAGUAAAUAAACGGAUUUUCUUGGAUGUUCGGACAGUGAUGAAUUCGGUAGAAAGUUGGAAUGCCAAGUUCAAGCUGGUGCCGUUGUUUGCGUUUCGAAUGAACAGCGCGACUUCGAGGGAACAGUUCGCGGUUGAAGUUAGGAAAGAAAUCAAGGGGAUCGCCGAGAUGUCGCCGAGAGAUCCGAGUAAAACUAGGCGUGAAGAAAAACGUAUAUCCGAUAUCCGCUUUUCAUUCUUGAAUCGGGUAAACUGUUGCUACUUUCCCGGACGGGGGAGAAAAAGGUUGGACGCGUUCAAUCGAAUUACGAGAUCUCUCGUAAUUCUCAAUGAUUUUCUUGGAUCUAUAUUUUUGUUUUAUUUGUUCGAGUUUGUUCUCGGUUGGAAGGGUAGAAAAUUUUCGGCCGGUUAUUAAAAUCUUAUCCGACUUUCGACUCGUUAAACGACGCCGUCCCCUCGAAACUUUCAAAUAUUCAAAUUUCCAAAGAUAAUCGGUCAACCGCUCGAUAAAUCACCCAGUGAAAUCUAAUUCCUCCCGAUCGGUGAAAUUAAAAUUCGAUACCGAAACUAAUCCGCAUGACCUGAAAACGUACACCGAGAUCGCCGAUCGUAGAUUUCCGCGUUACAAUUUCCAUUUCGAGUCGUGAACGUCGAUCGAAUUUUUUUCUCUGCUCGAAUCGCAUCGAUUCUUUUCACUCGCGUUGAAGAACUCGUGGAUGCGAGCUUGGUAGAGGCAAAAUGGAAUGUUGAAGAAAAAAAUAAAUAAAUAAAAGGGACGAGAAGUGUGCCAGCCGCGGAUUCGUA
This is a long non-coding RNA of Apis mellifera (honey bee), 1599 nucleotides long. RefSeq lists it as uncharacterized. Lineage: Eukaryota; Metazoa; Arthropoda; Insecta; Hymenoptera; Apidae. The transcript is spliced from 3 exons. The record is from RefSeq and is a predicted model, not a curated record.